AUGAGCUGGUCUUUUCUUCUUCUUUUGAUAUCCUUUGUUCCUUAUGUGUGUUGCAUCAGUCUGACCUCGUCUCCUGAUGAGGUUAAACCUCCUGGAGCCUCCGUGAAGUUGUCCUGUCAGAUUUCUGGCUAUGCCCUCACUGACUAUGGAACAGUCUGGAUCAAGCAAGCUCCAGGAAAAGCCUUCGAGUGGAUCGGGAUCAUAUGGGGUGAUGGAAGCAUAAACUAUGGAGCUUCCUUUAAAACUCGUUUCAGCAUCUCCAGAGACACAAGCAACAAUGUGCUUUACUUAGAUAUCAGCAGCCUGGUGUCAGAGGACACGGCUGUUUACUACUCUGCAAAGACAGACACAGCUGUACAGCUCAGUGCUAGAGAUUCUUAUGGACAGUCCCUGACCUCAUCUGCUUCUGUGGUGAAGAAACCAGGAGAAUCGGUCACUCUGUCCUGCACCGUGUCUGGACUCUCCCUUAGCUGGCUGCACUGGAUCCGUCAGAAACCAGGACAAGGACUGGAGUGGAUCGGGUCUUUUGUGCCUCUAGAGGGCAGUCUGUACAAACUCAACCAUCUCAAUGUGUUUCCAUCUGUACAUUUGGGCAAUCUCUCUUUUCACAUUCUGUUAUGA
Non-coding RNA from Hemibagrus wyckioides, 621 nucleotides. NCBI's taxonomy places the organism in Eukaryota, Metazoa, Chordata, Actinopteri, Siluriformes, Bagridae. The record is from the annotation of a RefSeq genome assembly.